RNAcentral lists this ribosomal RNA (93 nucleotides) under Pteropus alecto (black flying fox). Lineage: Eukaryota; Metazoa; Chordata; Mammalia; Chiroptera; Pteropodidae. The record is from RNAcentral.
GUCUACGGCCAUGCUACCCUCAACAAGCCGUGGGGUGGAGCCUGGUUAGUACUUGGAUGGGAAACCACCCAGGAAAACCAGGUGCUGUAGGUG